RNAcentral lists this transfer RNA (70 nucleotides) under Camelus bactrianus (Bactrian camel). It matches the Rfam family "tRNA". Rfam says of the family: Transfer RNA (tRNA) molecules are approximately 80 nucleotides in length. Their secondary structure includes four short double-helical elements and three loops (D, anti-codon, and T loops). Lineage: Eukaryota; Metazoa; Chordata; Mammalia; Artiodactyla; Camelidae. The record is from Rfam by way of RNAcentral. RNAcentral also lists the same sequence under 2 other names.
GGGUAUAGCUCAGUGGUACAGCAGAUGCUUAGCAUGCAUGAAGUCCUGGGUUCAAUCCCCAGUACCACCA